GACCUUGACAUGUGGACAAAUGGUGACCUGCGAAGACUCCACAUAGUCAGCUGCAGGAGUGUCUUCUGAGAAUCUCCAUGAGGCCGGAUGCUGAAUUAGGGUCGGAGGGGUCGAGGAGCCUGGAUCCCGCCUGAGCUGGGCGUGCGCCAUCGUGGAAGCACCACGGGGAUUGCCAGGACAGGUGACUCACGGCCGGGAGUGAGCGGGCAGGAGCGGCCCCAGCCGGGCCACCAUCACCCAAGCAGGCUGCACAUCUCUCCACUCCACGACUCAGUCUCCUCGUAUGCCAAGUGGGAAUGAUAAAGGGUGGGUCUCAUAGUACCCAGAACACCUUUAGAAGAGGAGUUUUCCUCCAGUCUCCGGAAUGUCACUCUGUACACAGGAAGCAUCGAAACAGCUGGCAAGCCUCUUUUAGCUUCUCUAUUAUGUGAAUUCUGAGACCGACUCUAGUGCCACCAAGCGAAGCCAGUCCCUAAAGAUGGUGCCAAAAUACUUCGUCUACAGAGAGAUCGGGACUGCCGAUAGCUGCCGUGGGCAUCAGAUUCCCACAUUUGGGCUUCUAGGAAAAG
Heterocephalus glaber (naked mole-rat) is the source of this 569-nucleotide long non-coding RNA. NCBI's taxonomy places the organism in Eukaryota, Metazoa, Chordata, Mammalia, Rodentia, Bathyergidae. The record is from Ensembl.